AUUGAACGCUGGCGGCAUGCCUUACACAUGCAAGUCGAACGGUAACAGGUUAAGCUGACGAGUGGCGAACGGGUGAGUAAUAUAUCGGAACGUGCCCAGUCGUGGGGGAUAACGUAGCGAAAGCUACGCUAAUACCGCAUACGAUCUACGGAUGAAAGCGGGGGGUCGCAAGACCUCGCGCGAUUGGAGCGGCCGAUAUCAGAUUAGGUUGUUGGUGAGGUAAAAGCUCACCAAGCCUGCGAUCUGUAGCUGGUCUGAGAGGACGACCAGCCAAACUGGAACUGGGACACGGUCCAGACUCCUACGGGAGGCAGCAGUGGGGAAUUUUGGACAAUGGACGCAAGUCUGAUCCAGCAAUGCCGCGUGCAGGACGAAGGCCUUCGGGUUGUAAACUGCUUUUGUACGGAACGAAACGGUGAGCUCUAAUACAGUUUGCUAAUGACGGUACCGUAAGAAUAAGCACCGGCUAACUACGUGCCAGCCGCCGCCGUAA
Molecule: ribosomal RNA, 493 nt
Filed under: uncultured bacterium
Lineage: Bacteria
Description: partial 16S ribosomal RNA
Rfam family: Bacterial small subunit ribosomal RNA
Source: RNAcentral